This is a non-coding RNA of Pipistrellus kuhlii (Kuhl's pipistrelle), 785 nucleotides long. Lineage: Eukaryota; Metazoa; Chordata; Mammalia; Chiroptera; Vespertilionidae. The record is from the annotation of a RefSeq genome assembly.
GUGAUGUCACUAUGGGAACUGCCCUGUGCAGACUAGGGAAGUCCCCCCUCCCCUGCUCAUGCUCACAAGGACUCUAACCUAAGUAACUUCCCAUUCCUGUCCUCACCCUGCCAUGGGUACCAGGCUCCUCUGCUGGGUGAGCCUCUGUUUCCUGGGGGCAGGUCACACCAAUGCUGGAGUGUCCCAGUCUCCUAAGCACUUAGUCACAAAGAGGGGACAGAAUGUCAAUCUCACGUGUGAUCCAAUUUCUGGACACCUGUCACUUUAUUGGUACCGACAAACACUGGGGCAGGGCCCGGAGUUUUUGAUUUACUUCCAAGGCAAGGAGGCCACAGAUGAAUCAGGGAUGCCUAAAGAGCGGUUCUCUGCUGAGAGGCCUGAUGGCUCCUACUCCACUCUGAAGAUCCAGCCUGCAGAGCAGGGGGACUCGGCCGUGUACCUCUGUGCCAGCAGCUUAACCACAGAGCUGCAGAGUCACCCUCUUCCUGCUCUCAAACCCUCAUGUGCUCACCUCUCAUAGUUCCCAGAGUUUUGAACAAAGGAGUGACCCUCUUCUUUCCUCACCAAGGGGAAUAAGUGCUUUGGAAUUUUAAUUGUUGUUCUCAUCUUGGGAUGUCAGGAAAUUACCUUCAAAAUUCCAGAACAGGUCACCUUGGGUAAUAACAUUCUGGCUGUGGAUCUCUGUUAUUUCUUUAUACAGUUCAAGAUUCUACAACUGAGAUUGAACAUCCAGGCUGAGUGUAAGGAAUUGUGGAAUAUUCUGUAAAAUAUAAGAUUUCAACACA